AUUUUCCACGCGCCGUCCAAUUAA
Molecule: small RNA, 24 nt
Filed under: Arabidopsis thaliana (thale cress)
Lineage: Eukaryota; Viridiplantae; Streptophyta; Magnoliopsida; Brassicales; Brassicaceae
Description: ATSL292440
Source: RNAcentral